GACGAAAGCGUGGGGAGCGAACAGGAUUAGAUACCCUGGUAGUCCACGCCGUAAACGAUGCUAACUCGUUUUUGGGUUUUCGGAUUCAGAGACUAAGCGAAAGUGAUAAGUUAGCCACUGGGGAGUACGUUCGCAAGAAUGAAACUCAAAGGAAUUGACGGGGGCCCGCACAAGCGGUGGAUUAUGUGGUUUAAUUCGAUGAUACGCGAGGAACCUUACCAAGGCUUAAAUGGGAAUUGACAGGUUUAGAAAUAGACUUUUCUUCGGACAAUUUUCAAGGUGCUGCAUGGUUGUCGUCAGCUCGUGCCGUGAGGUGUUAGGUUAAGUCCUGCAACGAGCGCAACCCCUGUCACUAGUUGCCAUCAUUCAGUUGGGGACUMUAGUGAGACUGCMUACGCAAGUAGAGAGGAAGGUGGGGAUGACGUCAAAUCAUCACGGCCCUUACGCCUUGGGCCACACACGUAAUACAAUGGCCGGUACAGAGGGCAGCUACCUAGCGAUAGGAUGYGAAUCUCGAAAGCCGGUCUCAGUUYGGAUUGGAGUYUGCAACUCGAMUCUAUGAAGCKGGAAUCGYUAGUAAUCGCMUAUCAGCCAUGAUGCGGUGAAUAC
RNAcentral lists this ribosomal RNA (609 nucleotides) under Chryseobacterium sp. RNAcentral's name for it is "bacterial SSU rRNA". The record is from RNAcentral. Lineage: Bacteria; Pseudomonadati; Bacteroidota; Flavobacteriia; Flavobacteriales; Weeksellaceae.